Molecule: ribosomal RNA, 301 nt
Filed under: uncultured bacterium
Lineage: Bacteria
Description: partial 16S ribosomal RNA
Rfam family: Bacterial small subunit ribosomal RNA
Source: RNAcentral
CAGCCGCCGCGGGAAUACGUAGGUGGCAAGCGUUGUCCGGAAUUAUUGGGCGUAAAGCGCGCGCAGGCGGAUCAGUUAGUCUGUCUUAAAAGUUCGGGGCUUAACCCCGUGAUGGGAUGGAAACUGCUGAUCUAGAGUAUCGGAGAGGAAAGUGGAAUUCCUAGUGUAGCGGUGAAAUGCGUAGAUAUUAGGAAGAACACCAGUGGCGAAGGCGACUUUCUGGACGAAAACUGACGCUGAGGCGCGAAAGCCAGGGGAGCGAACGGGAUUAGAUACCCGAGUAGUCCCUGUCUCUUAUACC